AUGGUCGCGGGGCGGAUUCACCUACGCGCCUCUUAUCACGCGGCGGACACGCACCCUCGUACGCACCCGCGCAUCCACGCGCGUAAUCACACCGUAUCCGCCCGCCCGCCCGCUCGCCUGCCUGCUCGUUCGUUCGCUCGCCCAGGUACGCGCGGAGUGUGGUGUGCCGCGCAGCACGCGAGUGUGCCCUCCCUAUUUUUCCAUCCCCGUGAGUUUCUCGCGAUUUUCGCAGUGCGCUCCCCGCGUGCGUCCCGCGUCAGCGCGCUCGCCGUCGUCCGGAAGCCUCUCGCCGACUUUUCCCGUUUCGUCGAACGCUGAAGACGGGGGUUGCCACCCCCUGAUUAAUCUGCGUUUCGCGGGGAAAGGAGGGAGGGAGGGAGGAAGGGAGAGAUACGCGUGUCGGGAUCACGUUUCCUCGAGGCGACAUGCGAACUCUCGCCGCGUUCGGCGCGCCGCGCCGCACUUUCACGCGAUGCCCUCGUUAAUCAACCUCGCGACGCGCCGCGCCGCGCGCGUGCCCUCGUAAAAGGGUUACCUUCGUGCGGGGGUUGUUACGCACGGGGAGGUGAGUGAACAAUGGAACAAUGCCGACGUCGUCCUGCGAUAGCUCACGUGAAAAUACGGGAGUCGACUCGCGCGUGUGUGAAUCGAAACUUUUUUGAAAACGUUUCACCGCGUGCUCAAAUAGACAAGAUACACGUUACGAUAGUCAAAUGUGCCACGUGAGGAAAAAGCGGCUGUCCCUUUAUUAUGCAUAUUGCUCGGGGAUAACGCGAGAUCUACGUGUUCCUCGCUGCGGAUGCUGUCUGCGAAUCGUGAGAGGAAGGAUCAGGCCUAACAGGAGUAGGAGUGCAGCGAUGGCUUCCAACAGCACGAAACUUUUUCGAGGUCGCAGAAAAAAGAGGGAAAGGAAGAUUAACCUA
Molecule: long non-coding RNA, 923 nt
Organism: Temnothorax curvispinosus
Lineage: Eukaryota; Metazoa; Arthropoda; Insecta; Hymenoptera; Formicidae
Exons: 3
Source: RefSeq, a predicted model, not a curated record